Molecule: long non-coding RNA, 1138 nt
Organism: Eriocheir sinensis (Chinese mitten crab)
Lineage: Eukaryota; Metazoa; Arthropoda; Malacostraca; Decapoda; Varunidae
Exons: 4
Source: RefSeq, a predicted model, not a curated record
AGGGGAGGAAGGAAGGUGCUGGAAAGUGUUAUGAGGGGGAGUGCUGCCAGCCUCAACAGCACUAAAGGGUGUGGCUGCUGAGAAGGGGAGGAAGGAAGGUGCUGGGAGGUGUUAUGAGGGGGAGUGCUGCCAGCCUCAACAGCACUAAAGGGUGUGGCUGCUGAGAAGGGAAGGAAGGAAGGUGCUGGGAGGUGUUAUGAGGGGGAGUGCUGCCAGCCUCAACAGCACUAAAGGGUGUGGCUGCUGAGAAGGGGAGGAAGGAAGGUGCUGGGAGGUGUUAUGAGGGGGAGUGCUGCCAGCCUCAACAGCACUAAAGGGUGUGGCUGCUGAGAAGGGAAGGAAGGAAGGUGCUGGGAGGUGUUAUGAGGGGGAGUGCUGCCAGCCUCAACAGCACUAAAGGGUGUGGCUGCUGAGAAGGGAAGGAAGGAAGGUGCUGGGAGGUGUUAUGAGGGGGAGUGCUGCCAGCCUCAACAGCACUAAAGGGUGUGGCUGCUGAGAAGGGAAGGAAGGAAGGUGCUGGGAGGUGUUAUGAGGGGGAGUGCUGCCAGCCUCAACAGCACUAAAGGGUGUGGCUGCUGAGAAGGGAAGGAAGGAAGGUGCAGGGAGGUGUUAUGAGGGGGAGUGCUGCCAGCCUCAACAUCACUAAAGGGUGUGGCUGCUGAGAAGGGAAGGAAGGAAGGUGCUGGGAGGUGUUAUGAGGGGGAGUGCUGCCAGCCUCAACAGCACUAAAGGGUGUGGCUGCUGAGAAGGGAAGGAAGGAAGGUGCUGGGAGGUGUUAUGAGGAGUGCUAACAUAAGAAGAACAUAAGAACACAGGGAGACUGCAAGAGGCCGAGUGGCCUACACAGGGCAGCUCCAGAAUCCCCCCACUACUCACGAUGGGUGAGGAGGUGUAGUUUCAGGAGUUACAGGUAGAGGCUUGAUCCUCGUCUACCUUCGGUACGGGCGUACGCUCCAGUACCCUGUCACCUUACUGCACCCACACCUCACUGCCACCUGUCAUCCUCGUCCAUGUAGCUAUCCAGUCUACUCUUAAAACAAGCUAUCGUCCCUGCACUAACUAUGUGAUUGCUGAGUCUAUUCCAUUCCCCCACCACCCUAUUACUAAACCAAUGCUUGAUAAUUCAUUCAUUCAUUCA